AUGGUUAGUGGAACGAUGGUGGACAGGUGGUCGUGGUCGGCGGUGCAGGACAUGAAGGAAAAUAACCUGACAGAGGUUUUAUGUCCGUGUCGAAAAUGCAAAAGAAUAGUUUGGCUUGACCCCCAUGUCGAUGGUCGUAUCGAAGCGCACCUGCUCAUGACUGGUUUCAUGGAUGGCUAUACUCGAUGGAUAAUUGAAGAUGAGGAUGACGAUGUUGAGGAUGCCGACGGGGCAGGUAAUGAUGACACGGGGCAAGACGAAGAGAUGAUGGAUAAUGGCGGCAGGGAAGAGGCCAGACAUGGCGGCGGAGAAGGGGCCGGACAUGGCGGCGGAGAGAAUGACAUGGACUCCACGCAGUAG
This 360-nucleotide ribosomal RNA is filed under the name Triticum aestivum (bread wheat). RNAcentral describes it as "partial small subunit ribosomal RNA". Lineage: Eukaryota; Viridiplantae; Streptophyta; Magnoliopsida; Poales; Poaceae. The record is from RNAcentral.